UCCGUAAGGUGAACCUGCGGAAGGAUCAUU
RNAcentral lists this ribosomal RNA (30 nucleotides) under fungal endophyte MUT 2727. Its description in RNAcentral is "partial 18S ribosomal RNA". The record is from RNAcentral. Lineage: Eukaryota; Fungi; Ascomycota.